CGAGGACCAUGUCUGGUGGGUAGUUUGACUGGGGCGGUCUCCUCCUAAAGAGUAACGGAGGAGUACGAAGGUGCGCUCAGCGUGGUCGGAAAUCACGCGUAGAGUAUAAAGGCAAAAGCGCGCUUAACUGCGAGACCCACAAGUCGAGCAGGUACGAAAGUAGGUCUUAGUGAUCCGGUGGUUCUGUAUGGAAGGGCCAUCGCUCAACGGAUAAAAGGUACUCUGGGGAUAACAGGCUGAUACCGCCCAAGAGUUCAUAUCGACGGCGGUGUUUGGCACCUCGAUGUCGGCUCAUCUCAUCCUGGGGCUGAAGCAGGUCCCAAGGGUAUGGCUGUUCGCCAUUUAAAGAGGUACGCGAGCUGGGUUUAGAACGUCGUGAGACAGUUCGGUCCCUAUCUACCGUGGGCGCUGGAAAUUUGAGAGGAUCUGCUCCUAGUACGAGAGGACCAGAGUGGACGAACCUCUGGUGUACCGGUUGUGACGCCAGUCGCAUCGCCGGGUAGCUAUGUUCGGAAGGGAUAACCGCUGAAAGCAUCUAAGCGGGAAGCCUACCUCAAGAUAAGAUUUCCCCGAGGCUUUAUGCCUCCUAAAGAGCCGUUGAAGACUACGACGUUGAUAGGUUGGAUGUGGAAGCAUAGCGAUAUGUGAAGCUGACCAAUACUAAUUGCUCGUGAGGCUUGACUAUACAACACCCAAACAGUUG
RNAcentral lists this ribosomal RNA (703 nucleotides) under Acinetobacter towneri. Its description in RNAcentral is "partial 23S ribosomal RNA". It matches the Rfam family "Bacterial large subunit ribosomal RNA", at positions 2246 to 2925 of the family's 2925-position model. The record is from RNAcentral. Lineage: Bacteria; Pseudomonadati; Pseudomonadota; Gammaproteobacteria; Moraxellales; Moraxellaceae.